GUUUUGAUGAAACAUUUGCAGCUUUCAAAAGCCGAACUAAACCAAAAUCCAAAAGUACCAGUAAGAAAAUGGCUGUAGAGGAUCUGGCAUUAGUAUGCACAAAUGAACGAGAAGACAGAAGGGAGAAAGACAGUGAGAAGACAGAAGCUGCGAAUGAAAUAGAUGUUAUGCCUCCCAAAAUAGUUGCAAUGAAUAGAGUUAGAUGG
RNAcentral lists this unclassified non-coding RNA (206 nucleotides) under Hevea brasiliensis (rubber tree). The record is from RNAcentral. Lineage: Eukaryota; Viridiplantae; Streptophyta; Magnoliopsida; Malpighiales; Euphorbiaceae.